AAAAUUUCUCUCUCUUCCUCUCUCUCUCGCGUGACCCCUCCCCCAUCUUUUUCUCUUCCUCUUCCCCAUGCCCUACCUCUAGCCGCACCUUCAACUGACCACCCUCCAAUCGACACCAUCGUUCUUCUUCUUCUUUUCUUCUCCGAUUCACGAAGUCGUCGACCGAAGGUUCUACCGCGUUUGAUCUUGCGCGCCAUCCAUCUGUAGACUCAUUGGCGUUGCAUCUUGUUCUUGUCUCCAAUAAACCAAAUAUGGCCGAACCCUAGGCUUCGUUUCUGUAAGGUUGGCGACCGUUCAAAAUCCGACAGCUGCACGCCGUACGCCGUCUCUCCAUCACGAAUCACUCUGUUCGCGAGCUGUUGAUCGUUUGAUGAAGCCAAAUUGACGUUUUGGUUGCCCCUGCCUUCGUUCACAAUCCGACAGCUGCACGCCGUGGUAUGCCGUGGUGCAUCCUUCGUCCGUCGACCGUGAAAUAGCUACUGUUGGUUCUCCAUUCCAGUGUAUUCGUGCCAACUCCAAUUUUUCUUCGUUGUCGUUUCUGCUUGUUUUGGGUAGUUGUGGUACUGUUUGAAGCUAGUAAAUCUUUGAAAUUCUCUAUAGUUGGAGUGGGUGCGUUCCUCCACUAACUAACUGGGUUGUAAUUGUUAAAGUUAGUUCGACCAAGGGGUUUGCAUAAAACUUUGAGUUAAGCCAAAGGUAAUAAAGGCGGCAAACCGGCGAGGGGCAGAAAGGAAGCGUGAACGCCACAGGGGACACUUUAAAAUUUUGCUUCCGCUUGGUGAUUUAUUGUAUUAUUUGUAUUCGAACGUGAGACUGUUUAGAAAUUUUGAGGUUUUAAAGUAUUCAAGGAUUCGAAACAUUUUAGUUUUAAAUUUUCACGUGAAUUUUAGUAAUUUAAAACUGGGGCCCAAACAAACAAAAUAAA
Molecule: long non-coding RNA, 925 nt
Organism: Cucumis sativus (cucumber)
Lineage: Eukaryota; Viridiplantae; Streptophyta; Magnoliopsida; Cucurbitales; Cucurbitaceae
Exons: 4
Source: RefSeq, a predicted model, not a curated record